UUUACUCUACAUUUUGCACUGUAUACUACCGUGACACCCAACUAACGGCCGCGGGUAAAUCGAAUUCCAUGGAAACACUCGUAGCUGAUCACACCCCGGGUCUGCAUUUUCUUACCAGGCGGCCUAUAAAAUUCUGUCACCGAUGAAUAUGGCGAUUUUUUGCUCCUAAUUCUAGGUUUGUUUUUUCUUUUUUUAACAAAUCCAUUAUCGUUUCGUUAUCAGAUCUCAUUCCUCCAUGGCCAAUUACCUAGCUCAGUUUCAGACGAUCAAGAGCUCGUCAAACUGCCUGGUCGUAGCAGUUGAAGAUGUUACUGUCAAGGAUGGAUUUGAGGCAUGAUUGCCAUUCAAAAAAGCUUGUCUCAAUAACAAGACUCGGAAUCCUGUAUAUGUUGAAAAUCUACCUGUUGAGUUCAUAUUGACAACUGAUGCUCGCCUCCGCAGUCGCUUUCCACAGGAACAAUAUUUGUUUUGGUUCCGUGAACCCUAUGCAACUGCAGUUCUUGUCACUUGUGAGAUGUGUUUCAAUUCUAGGAGGAGGAGAUUUGCAAGCUCAGUGAACAACCUUUCAUGCCAGUGUGGAGUUUUUGUAACUUCUUUAUUUUGAAGGAGAGCUUAGCUUUCAUGUUUGAGAUGGCUCAUCUCCAUCUCCUUGCGAGAAUAUGAUGAACUAGAACUUUGAUAUCUAGAAACAGUGCAGUUCAUGAGGCUUGCAUACCUAAUAGGAUAUGGAAUGGACAUUGAGAAAAGUCCUACCAAUAGUGCUGCUUUGAGCAUGCUUUCAUGGGCAAGACCAGUAGUCUGGCCUUCAGUUCCUCCUGAUGCUUUAACAGGGGUGGUUGCAAAAGAAAAG
This is a non-coding RNA of Amborella trichopoda, 850 nucleotides long. NCBI's taxonomy places the organism in Eukaryota, Viridiplantae, Streptophyta, Magnoliopsida, Amborellales, Amborellaceae. The record is from RefSeq and is a predicted model, not a curated record.